Molecule: long non-coding RNA, 7149 nt
Organism: Myxocyprinus asiaticus (Chinese sucker)
Lineage: Eukaryota; Metazoa; Chordata; Actinopteri; Cypriniformes; Catostomidae
Exons: 3
Source: RefSeq, a predicted model, not a curated record
ACGCCCACUUUCAAGGAAAUGCCAGUUUUUGGACAAACACGUCGAUAUUGCACUGUUUUUCUCGCGAUAAGGUAAAUUACAAAAUUAACCACUUAUACGACAGUUUUAUAGUAACUUAUUGAUGUAUGUUAUGUUGUUGAUUUAAACACGUUUUUACGGCAUUAUAAGAGCUGAAAACACGUUUUAUUUUUGGGGUAGAAACACGUGGUUUCGUUGUCAUUACUUUGUUUUAAUAGCUGAAUUCUUUGUGAUUAUUAAUUAUGAUGCGACUAAAAAUGUCUGGUAUUAUCCAUAUUUAAUUCGCCAGUGAUUUUGUUGUGGUUAAAUUAUAUUUAUCUGUUUUGUAUCAGCGAGGUUAAGUUAGUUUUGUUUUUGAUAUUCCAGACACGUUCGGCGAUUACUCUUAAACGGCUUAGAAAUUAUUUUCCAAAACAGUAUUACUGUAAAACAUGGAAAGCUAAUCAAAUUCUUAAAGCUUGUUUUCAUCAUUUUCACUCGAUGUUAUGAGCAUUUGUAAUGUGAGUUACCCCGGAAAGAGUUCCUCCUGUCGCAGCGGUAAGUAAGGGACCGUGGAGAAAGUGCAAUUCUUGAAGUGUUAAAAUACUCCAUCAUUCUCUUCACUCAUGGAGAUCAGUUAGAAGAUAAGUCCAUAGAGAAACUCAUUGAGGAGAACAGUAAAUUAAGAUCUCUAGUUGAUCAGUGUGGAGGCAGAUAUCAUGUGUUUAAUAAUAAAGAUCAGAAUAACAGAGAUCAGGUGACUGAACUACUGCAGAAGAUUGACACAAUGAUAGAUCAGAAUGGAGGAGGACAUUACACUAAUCAGAUGUAUCAAGAUGCUCUGAGAUUUAAACAAGAGGAGGAAGAAGGAGAGAAAAAUACAAGAGGAGACUGAAAGAGUGAAGGAGAGAGAAGAACAGUUUAAAUUACAUACACCUCAGCUGAGGUCUGAAUUAGAAAGAAAUAAAGAGAGCAAAUGGAGAGAGGAAGAGAUGGAAGUAAGAAGGGCCAAGACAGACAAUGAAAAGUACAAUUGUGCCAUACUUUGAGCUCUAUAGCCAAAAUGUACUUAGCGCUGUAACCGGUCCUGCUCAACUCGCUCCAAGCAGGAAUCGAACCAGCGUCUCCGGCAUGGGAAGUGGGCGUGCUAACAAGGAGGCUAAAAGCUACACCCUUUAGCAUCAGUCGCAAGUGCACCUCUUGAGGCCAGGGCAGUGUGGUUUACACACACUGCACAGAUAUCACGUACCAGCCGGCUCCCAUUACAUCAGGAACAGAACAUUAUAAAACACCUGCAGGACAUCUGAAAAUGAACAACUGACAUCCAACAGACAGCACGAGUGGAGACAACAUUGCAGCAGACCUCCAGAACAUCCAGAAAACAUGAAGAAGAUAGAAGAGGAAAGCAGACUGUGUACCUCGAGCAUUGAACAAGAUAUCUUUUAUUGACACAAUGAGAUCCUCAUGGCACACAGAGAUCUUUGUCAGGUUGUUCAUCUGUUAUUGUUUACAAGAAAGCAUGAUUGAUCAAGAUUGAAUCACACUUUUGUGGAUUGUUUAAUCCCAAUUCAAACAGAGUUAUUGUUCUCACUUCUGUGUUUGAAAAGGAAUGGGACUUUUUGUCUGGAUUGUUUGCUUUUUCUGUUUUCUCACCUGUCAUUUGUUUGUCAGGUCUUGUUUUAUUGUGAUCUACAUGGGUGUAGUAUUUCCAGUUUUUUAGUAAAAGCUCUGCUCUUGGGUGCAAAAUCAUUUAGAGUCCAUAUUUGUUACUGAGGAGAGUGUUAAUCCUUUGGGACAAUCCUCCUAAAAUAAACAUGAAAACCCCUUAAAUCGACAGUCUUGUAAGAAAAUGCAGUCAGUCUAUGUGAAUUUCACUCAACCCAAUUUGUUAAGGUACACCACCUAAACCCAGACCACUUAAUUAACAUAGAGACCGUUGUGUAACUGCAUAAGUUAUCACGUUCUCAAAGACAUCAAUCAAUUAUAGCAUCAGAGCGGCAAUGAGCCAGCGAGAACAAUCCUGGAGAAACGGGAACCAAACAUUUACACUGGGAAUGUAACUUCAUUUACAUCAAAAGCAAAGACUCAUUUACUUUAUGAGCAGCAAGCCAUAAAGGUUUGAGUUUAGAAAGUUCAUUGUUCAGUCUGAAUCUGAUCCAAAAUGCCCACUGCAAAACUGCAAUAAAGACUUCAUUGCAAGAUCGCCUGAGGUUGAUAAAUGAAGAAUAUGUCCAGCAGAUGAAUGUGCUGUAUGACUGACUGUAUGAGACACAUUUACUGUACCAAUAAACACUGUUUAAAUACAGAUUUGAACUCAAACAGGGGAUGGGAACUUUCUGGAAAAAAGUUGAUUAUUAGUGUGCCAUAGCAGCUCCACACACAUUUGAACACAUGGGUGUGUCUUCAACUUCAGGCACUUUAAUCACUGUGAACGUCUAGAUAAUAAAGUCACAUGAUCAAAACAUUUUUCACUGUCUCACUAGAAUAAUUUCAUAGCUGACAUUUGAUGAGUACUCAAUACACAUCAUAUUUUCACACUUUUGUAAUGCUUAAUGGAUUAUUAAUGCCUUGAUUAUUCUUUAUUUUGUCUCAUAUUUCAUGCUCUUCACUUGGUUAAAAAAAUAGUGUACUUGUUAGACGUAAAAUUGUUAGGUGUGCUAGAAAUGACGCCUCAACUGUGGGACAAAAUUGAUAUAAAUCAUUUUCACACAAUAAAUAUUGAAAUGUUUUGUGUUUAUUUCACUCUUUGUUUAGAUGAUUAUAGUUUUAAACGUUUAUUUGUAUUUUUAUAAUGUAUUUUCAUAGUUUAAUAUUGAAAGUCUCGGUCUGAAGUCUAAAACAGUCAAAUCUAUACUUAAAAGACAUUUGAAAAGUGCUACAAAUAAAUGAUGAAGAACUGGUGAAGAGUUUCCAAUUCAGUUUUAAUGAGACCUUCAUAUAAUAAAAAGAAAAGAGUUGAAGUUCACAGCCGAGACUUGCACUUGUGUGACUAUAUGAAGAAAUAUUAGUCUCCUGUUGUUAACUGCCCUUAUAAAACUACUGCUGUGGUAAUGAGAAUUAGUGUGAAUUAUUAUCGGUAAAUGACCUGUAAAUAAAGCGUGCUGUCAGAUUUAACAUGACAAAUGUUUAUUGGAUAGGAUAUUUCUAAAGAAAUAAGUAGAAAAAGAAAAGAAAUGAAAAAUGGUUGGUCAAUAUUACGAUCAAACAACAUAUUUCAAAUCAGCAAUAAAAUCUGACAACACUGAAAUCAUAAAUUGUGAUUCUUUACCUCAUAUUACGCUAAAAACGCAAUUUUCCCUGCUUGUGCAGCUAAUGCGCAUGUGCGUUCUAGAGAUGACUGACAGGCGAUGUCUGUAUCUAAAAGGUGAUUGGCUGUUUUACCUGUAAGGCGGGACUCAUCUCUGCUAAAUAAUCUCUGAUUCUGCCUUGAAUCAGUGCAACAAAGUUUCGAUAAUUCUGCAAUCAGCUCCAAUCGCUGUUAAUCUCUGAAAGAAGGAAUUUAAUCGCUCAUUUCACAAUAUCAAAGACACCAUAUAUGAGGAAGAAUCAUUAAUAACAUUAAAAAAAAUGUGUUUAACCAGCAAGUUCUUCUGUGAGCUUUGAUCGUAAUCAAAUUCUAAUGUAGAAAAUGCUUUAUUUCGAUUUCUUUAUACAUUUGUUUCAGUGUAGAUCUUCAUCAUCUGUAUUUUAAUUAUAACUUAUUUAACUUAUAAAAGUUUUCUAUACAUUAAACACUAUAUUAAACAUAGGUGUACUGCUGAACUUUCUAAAACAUUUACUUUGUCAGAAUAUCAUGUGAGAUCUUUGUUUCAUUUCUGUGCAAAAUUCACAAUUUCAGAGUUGGAAUUUGAAUUGAAUUGGCCACGCCCCACAGGAAGUUGAAUCGGAAUGACAGGACGUAGUUUACUGAAUUAAAAUUCAAGAGUCAAAGACACAUUUUGUGAUAAAUAAUUAUGUUAGAAUAUUUGACCAAGUCUAUUUAUUCCCUAAGAGGUAGAAUUACAUUUGUUUACUUGUUUGUCUCAAAUACAUAAAUAAAUCAACAAAUAAAUACAUUAAAAAUAUAACAUAUAGCCAUCAAAAGAUUUUAUUACAAUCAACAACAACAAUGUAAAUAAAACCAGAAAAUGCAAAUGGCCAUAAAAAAACAAUAAUUCAGUAAAUGUUGUUUGAUUUGUUAUGCAUAAGACAAUGUUUCAUGUUUUCCUGAAAAAACAAAACAAAUGCAUUGUUAAAAACCAAACUUCAUGAACAGUUAUGAAUUUCAUUCCACUUUAAUUCUACUUCCACAAUGUACAUUCAAACUGCAAUUCUGCAUACUUGGUAUUUUUCAUUGAAUUCUGAAUGCUGCAUAGACAGUGUUUUAUCAUUUUGCUUUUGGUCUUUGUCAGACACAAUAAGUGGACAGUCACAGCCGUCACCUGAGAAAGGAGACAUAUGUGAGUAUUUUUCAAGAUGUGGAAUGAUUAAUCAACUGACCCUUUUUCAUUUAUUUUAUUGAUUCCUUCUUUUUAUGAUCUAAACUCUGUAAUGCUAAAGCUGGAAUGCAUUUUUGAAAUUUCUUUGGUUUUCACUGAUUUAAUAAGUCAAAUUCUUGUACACAAAUGCAACAUUCUGUAUAUUUUAAAGUAUACUACAAAAAUACCAAUUUAUAUAUACACUAUAUUGCCAAAAGUAUUCGCUCAUCUGCCUUUAGACGCAUAUGAACUUAAGUGACAUUCCAUUCUUAAUCCAUAGGGUUUAAUAUGACGUCGGCCCACCCUUUGCAGCUAUAACAGCUUCAACUCUUCUGGGAAGGCUUUCCACAAGGUUUAGGAGUGUGUUUAUGGGAAUUUUUGACCAUUCUUCCAGAAGCGCAUUUGUGAGGUCAGACACUGAUGUUGGACGAGAAGGCCUGGCUCGCAGUCUUCGCUCUAAUUCAUCCCAAAGGUGCUCUGUUGGGUUGAGGUCAAGACUCUGUGCAGGCCAGUCAAGUUCUUCCACACCAAACUCGCUCAUCCAUGUCUUUAUGGACCUUGCUUUGUGCACUGGUGCGCAGUCAUGUUGGAACAGGAAGGGGCCAUCCCCAAACUGUUCCACAAAGUUGGGAGCAUGGAAUUGUCCAAAAUCUCUUGGUAUGCUGAAGCAUUCAGAGUUCCUUUCACUGGAACUAAGGGGCCAAGCCCAGCUCCUGAAAAACAACCCCACACCAUAAUCCCCCUCCACCAAACUUCACAGUUGGCACAAUGCAGUCAGACAAGUACCGUUCUCCUGGCAACCGCCAAACCCAGACUCGUCCAUCAGAUUGCCAGAUGGAGAAGCGUGAUUCGUCACUUCAGAGAACACGUCUCCACUGCUCUAGAGUCCAGUGGCGGCGUGCUUUACACCACUGCAUCCGACGCUUUGCAUUGCACUUGGUGAUGUAUGGCUUGGAUGCAGCUGCUCGGCCAUGGAAACCCAUUCCAUGAAGCUCUCUACGCACUGUUCUUGAGCUAAUCUGAAGGCCACAUGAACUUUGGAGGUCUGUAGCGAUUGACUCUGCAGAAAGUUGGCGACCUCUUUUCUUUUUAUUAUAUGAAGGUCUCAUUAAAACUGAAUUGGAAACUCUUCACCAGUUCUUCAUCAUUUAUUUGUAGCACUUUUCAAAUGUCUUUUAAGUAUAGAUUUGACUGUUUUAGACUUCAGAUCGAGACUUUCAAUAUUAAACUAUGAAAAUACAUUAUAAAAAUACAAAUAAACGUUUAAAACUAUAAUCAUCUAAACAAAGAGUGAAAUAAACACAAAACAUUUCAAUAUUUAUUGUGUGAAAAUGAUUUAUAUCAAUUUUGUCCCACAGUUGAGGCGUCAUUUCUAGCACAACCAACACUUCUGCAGGUCCAAUUAUAUGAUAUUUUUAUUAUUUUAAGAAAGGAGUAAUUGACAACAGACGGUUGAAGGACUGAAUAUUGUGUCCGGUGUGAUCCCGGGUUUGCACUAUUUUUCAAUAAUUCAACCACGAAUGCCACGUCAAGAUAAUAUUAAUACAUAUUUUCUGGUUUUCGUCCCAGGACACUUAGUAGAGCGAUUUUUAUGCCUCUUAAUUAUUCGCCCCAAAUGAAAGAAAUGUCAUUAAGCCAUUAAAUCUCUCAGAUUUAUUCAGAAAUACAUUGAUAAAGCUGCUGAGUUUGAUAUCUCACAGAGAUUAUUUUAUAUCUAUAUCACAAAACUCUGCAGAAUUAUUAUAUUAGAGAGUGUAACGGUCAACUAGCGUGUUAUGACAUUAAGUCACCGUUCAAAUCAAUGGGAAGAGCCAUAAACUGUGUGGAAAAUUCAUUUUAUUUAUUCUCAUUAUGUUUCUUUUCAAUUAUUUCUUAUUAACUGUAAAUGAACCAAACAUGUUCAAAUGCUUAGAUAAAUAGUUUCUCUUUGACUGUGUCUUAUGAGAGCACACAGCCGAAGAGUGAAAAACAUCUUAUCAAGUGACAUGAAGAGAUUUACUGGAAAUAUUCAUACAACUGCUUUUAUUAAACAACAUUUUUAAUAACCUUUAAAACCUUUCAGCCGAGAGAUGCAAAUGAAUGUUACUAUGGAGUCUUGAGCAUGCAGAUUUUAUUAUGAGCUGGAUCAUGCUUUCUGUACAAAUUGUGAUUGAUUCUUUAUUUACUUUAUAUAAAUAUAUAAUCAUCCAUUUGCACUUAUAAAUGUCUUUAUUUGAAUGUGUUUGAAAGUGAAGUCCACGACGAUGUUAGCGUUUCAUAUUAGUGACGUCAUUACUUCAUGAUGUAGAAGAAUUGCUGAACUGCUUUUUUGUACUAAUUCACUGAAACAAACUGUCAGAAAGAAUCGAUCUUCCCAUCACUAGUGAUUUUACCAAAGUCUUUAUCUCUGUAACACAUGAACUCAAGUGACUUAUUUUUAUUUUUAUAAAAUGGCAGCAACUGUAUUAUUAAAAAUAAACAUAAUUAACAGUAAUAUAGUUCAUUAUCAUAUCUGUAGGAAUUGCUGCAUUAAUUAGGGGUGUGGCAAUCCAUCGAUCUGGAUCAAUUUAUCGAUCCAAUAACCAACAAUGUGAUGUCAUUGAUGCAACAAGUAAACACUGAUGAAUAUUGUUUAAGAUGCACCUUUAUUUUGCCAUGUCUGUACGCAUUAAUAAACAUUUAUACUGAUGAAAUAAGUGUGUUGAGAUAUCUCACG